Molecule: long non-coding RNA, 544 nt
Filed under: Brassica napus (rape)
Lineage: Eukaryota; Viridiplantae; Streptophyta; Magnoliopsida; Brassicales; Brassicaceae
Description: long non-coding RNA (BNAP_LNC016052)
Source: RNAcentral
AGGGCUUGGUCUGAUCGAGAAGAAACGGACAUGUAUAGAUAUUCAAGUGAAGAAUGAUAACCUUUAUAUAGGUGUAGAUACACCGUCUUACAGAGAGUAAACACGCCUUUAAUGUCAGAUCGUGCUUCACAUUGAUCUGUAACUCUCAGUUUUUCAACUGAUUAGAAGAGGAAACGGAACAACGCAGAAGAACUCUUUUUUGGUGUUAAGAAGAGGCCAAACCUUAAAACAGCAUGUUGUUCAUAAACAAUAUAUGGGCUUCUGGGUAUCAGGCUUAACUCGGUAAUCAAAACAAACAAUGGAAUGCAGGAGCCCAAUGUCUCAUUAAUGAAACGCAGUGUAUUGCAAGAAGGGAGAUAUGUCGGGCUCUUGUGAGCCGAAUUUGUGACGUGUCUGCUGAUGUUGAGGGCCCUAGAGAGAAGGAACUCUACUUUAUAUGAUAAAAGAUAUAUAGAUAGAUAAUAAAUUUGUUUUCGUUCAUUUUGUUAAAGAUCCUUAAUAAAUCCGGAUUUUCUGCAUAAAAACGUCGAGGCAGUUUUUUUGC